GGCAAGGUCCGCCUGUGCGCCCGAGAGCGCCGCACACCGCCCCCUCCGGCCGGGCUCCGGAUCGGUCUUCGAGCGCAGUGCCUGGCCCUGGCGGGCCACGUCCGAUCCCCGGGCCCGCAGCGAGGGAGCGCGAAGGUCGGCCUUCAGUUCUGCAGAUGGGAGAUCGAGGGGUCCACAUGGAUACAGAUGGCCUCUAGGAGCUGACAUUGGCUCCUGGUGACAGGCAGCAAGGAAAUAGGGACCUCAGUCCUCCAGUCACAAAAAAGGGCCUGAAUUCUGCUAACAACCCAAAUGAACUUGGAAGAGGAUCCUGAGCUUCAGCACCUACACCGUAACUUCAGCCUGUGAGGCCCUCAGCAGAAAACCCAGCUACACCGGGCCCAGAUUUAAGACUAGCACAACUGUGAGCUGGAAGUCAAAGAAGUGUCUUUCACAUACACACAAUCGCAAGCAUCUAUGAUGGAGUCAAGAGACUGAAGAUCUUGAAACAUGGAGGUCUGCAGUCCCUGUUGUUUCUAUUAAUGGAAACAUGGUUCUAUUUUAAGCCAAAUUGAUCUUCUGAUUGUAGAAUUGCAGCAAAUACUCAGAAGGCCUUGCAAACAAAAGAGUAAACACAUGGAGAACUGGUCCCUCUGCCAGAUUCAGCGAACACCAUUUUUAUAUCCUAAUUGCCGGGAAUGGGGACAGCUGCAUCAUUGUUUAAAACACACACUCAUGCACAAUUAAGCCAAGAAUAAAUGUCAACACUGGCACAAUCUGCUAAAUAACUGAUAACUGAUGGGCAUUACUCAUGCUGUGAGCGUUGUCUCCAAUAGAUAAUGGAAAGAUUCCUAUUUGGAAAAGAUCUUAGAGGUUUCUACUGGUUUAAGAAAGCUGGGUUUACCAAGGGGGAAAGGGGGGUGGUGGGAUGAAUUGGGAGAUUGGAAUUGACAUAUAUAUACUAUUGAUACUAUGUAUAAAAUAGAUACUAAUGAGAACCUACUGUAAAGCUCAGGGAACUCUACUCCGUGCUCUGCGGUGACCUAAAUGGGAAGGGAAUCCAAAAAAGGGGGGAUAUAUGUAUAUGUAUAGCUGAUUCACUUCUGUACAGUAGAAACUAACACAGCAUUGUAAAGCAACUAUACUCCAAUAAAAAAUUUUAAAAAAUACAUCCACUAUAAAAAAAAAAGUCCCUUAUCAGAUAUAUAAUUUGCAAAACUUUUCUCCUGUUGUAUGGGUUGUCUUUUUACUUUCUUGAUUUUUUUCCUUUAAAACAAAAGGUUUUUAAUUUUAAUGAAAAAAAAGAAAAGAAAGCUGGGUUUUAUAACAAACGGCACAACUGCAGCCUGCCAGAUUAUGUAAGUGGCAUUCCACCCAUGUGUUCAAGGAGUUUGUGACAAGAACAUGCCGUUCUUGUGCAUCUUUAUAUUUGUAUGAACAAGGCAGAUUUGUGGUUUGGGGACACUUUGUCUGGGAUGAAGGUGUCUUGUGGCCACUGACUAGAAAUGCCCAGGGAUGGCCUCAUAAUCCAGAGAGCCAGGGUUUGCCACUUGCAUGGGCAGC
Long non-coding RNA from Balaenoptera acutorostrata (minke whale), 1542 nucleotides. RefSeq lists it as uncharacterized. The transcript has 3 exons. Lineage: Eukaryota; Metazoa; Chordata; Mammalia; Artiodactyla; Balaenopteridae. The record is from RefSeq and is a predicted model, not a curated record.